This 2602-nucleotide ribosomal RNA is filed under the name Salmonella enterica subsp. enterica serovar Johannesburg. RNAcentral describes it as "partial 23S ribosomal RNA". It matches the Rfam family "Bacterial large subunit ribosomal RNA", at positions 353 to 2925 of the family's 2925-position model. Lineage: Bacteria; Pseudomonadati; Pseudomonadota; Gammaproteobacteria; Enterobacterales; Enterobacteriaceae. The record is from RNAcentral.
CGCGAUACAGGGUGACAGCCCCGUACACAAAAGCGCAUGUGCUGUGAGCUCGAUGAGUAGGGCGGGACACGUGGUAUCCUGUCUGAAUAUGGGGGGACCAUCCUCCAAGGCUAAAUACUCCUGACUGACCGAUAGUGAACCAGUACCGUGAGGGAAAGGCGAAAAGAACCCCGGCGAGGGGAGUGAAAAAGAACCUGAAACCGUGUACGUACAAGCAGUGGGAGCACCCUUUGGGGUGUGACUGCGUACCUUUUGUAUAAUGGGUCAGCGACUUAUAUUCUGUAGCAAGGUUAACCGAAUAGGGGAGCCGGAGGGAAACCGAGUCUUAAUUGGGCGUUAAGUUGCAGGGUAUAGACCCGAAACCCGGUGAUCUAGCCAUGGGCAGGUUGAAGGUUGGGUAACACUAACUGGAGGACCGAACCGACUAAUGUUGAAAAAUUAGCGGAUGACCUGUGGCUGGGGGUGAAAGGCCAAUCAAACCGGGAGAUAGCUGGUUCUCCCCGAAAGCUAUUUAGGUAGCGCCUCGUGAAUUCAUCUCCGGGGGUAGAGCACUGUUUCGGCUAGGGGGCCAUCCCGGCUUACCAACCCGAUGCAAACUGCGAAUACCGGAGAAUGUUAUCACGGGAGACACACGGCGGGUGCUAACGUCCGUCGUGAAGAGGGAAACAACCCAGACCGCCAGCUAAGGUCCCAAAGUCAUGGUUAAGUGGGAAACGAUGUGGGAAGGCCCAGACAGCCAGGAUGUUGGCUUAGAAGCAGCCAUCAUUUAAAGAAAGCGUAAUAGCUCACUGGUCGAGUCGGCCUGCGCGGAAGAUGUAACGGGGCUAAACCAUGCACCGAAGCUGCGGCAGCGACGCUGAUGCGUUGUUGGGUAGGGGAGCGUUCUGUAAGCCUGCGAAGGUGUGUCGUGAGGCAUGCUGGAGGUAUCAGAAGUGCGAAUGCUGACAUAAGUAACGAUAAAGCGGGUGAAAAGCCCGCUCGCCGGAAGACCAAGGGUUCCUGUCCAACGUUAAUCGGGGCAGGGUGAGUCGACCCCUAAGGCGAGGCCGAAAGGCGUAGUCGAUGGGAAACGGGUUAAUAUUCCCGUACUUGGUGUUACUGCGAAGGGGGGACGGAGAAGGCUAUGUUGGCCGGGCGACGGUUGUCCCGGUUUAAGCGUGUAGGUGUGUGUUCCAGGUAAAUCCGGUUCACUUUAACACUGAGGCGUGAUGACGAGGCACUACGGUGCUGAAGCAACAAAUGCCCUGCUUCCAGGAAAAGCCUCUAAGCAUCAGGUAACAUCAAAUCGUACCCCAAACCGACACAGGUGGUCAGGUAGAGAAUACCAAGGCGCUUGAGAGAACUCGGGUGAAGGAACUAGGCAAAAUGGUGCCGUAACUUCGGGAGAAGGCACGCUGACACGUAGGUGAAGUGAUUUACUCAUGGAGCUGAAGUCAGUCGAAGAUACCAGCUGGCUGCAACUGUUUAUUAAAAACACAGCACUGUGCAAACACGAAAGUGGACGUAUACGGUGUGACGCCUGCCCGGUGCCGGAAGGUUAAUUGAUGGGGUCAGCGCAAGCGAAGCUCCUGAUCGAAGCCCCGGUAAACGGCGGCCGUAACUAUAACGGUCCUAAGGUAGCGAAAUUCCUUGUCGGGUAAGUUCCGACCUGCACGAAUGGCGUAAUGAUGGCCAGGCUGUCUCCACCCGAGACUCAGUGAAAUUGAACUCGCUGUGAAGAUGCAGUGUACCCGCGGCAAGACGGAAAGACCCCGUGAACCUUUACUAUAGCUUGACACUGAACAUUGAGCCUUGAUGUGUAGGAUAGGUGGGAGGCUUUGAAGUGUGGACGCCAGUCUGCAUGGAGCCGGCCUUGAAAUACCACCCUUUAAUGUUUGAUGUUCUAACGUGGACCCGUGAUCCGGGUUGCGGACAGUGUCUGGUGGGUAGUUUGACUGGGGCGGUCUCCUCCUAAAGAGUAACGGAGGAGCACGAAGGUUGGCUAAUCCUGGUCGGACAUCAGGAGGUUAGUGCAAUGGCAUAAGCCAGCUUGACUGCGAGCGUGACGGCGCGAGCAGGUGCGAAAGCAGGUCAUAGUGAUCCGGUGGUUCUGAAUGGAAGGGCCAUCGCUCAACGGAUAAAAGGUACUCCGGGGAUAACAGGCUGAUACCGCCCAAGAGUUCAUAUCGACGGCGGUGUUUGGCACCUCGAUGUCGGCUCAUCACAUCCUGGGGCUGAAGUAGGUCCCAAGGGUAUGGCUGUUCGCCAUUUAAAGUGGUACGCGAGCUGGGUUUAGAACGUCGUGAGACAGUUCGGUCCCUAUCUGCCGUGGGCGCUGGAGAACUGAGGGGGGCUGCUCCUAGUACGAGAGGACCGGAGUGGACGCAUCACUGGUGUUCGGGUUGUCAUGCCAAUGGCACUGCCCGGUAGCUAAAUGCGGAAGAGAUAAGUGCUGAAAGCAUCUAAGCACGAAACUUGCCCCGAGAUGAGUUCUCCCUGAGACUUAGAGUCUCCUGAAGGAACGUUGAAGACGACGACGUUGAUAGGCCGGGUGUGUAAGCGCAGCGAUGCGUUGAGCUAACCGGUACUAAUGAACCGUGAGGCUUAACCUUACAACGCCGAA